UGAAUACGAGACGCUACGGCGUUGAAGCAGUCUAUGUCAUACUUCCAAGAAAAGCUCGCAAUGUCAUAAACAAAUAAUGCCUGUACCAUAACCGACACAGGUGGGUAGGUAGAGUAUACUAAGGGGCGCGAGAUAACUCUCUCUAAGGAACUCGGCAAAAUGACUCCGUAACUUCGGGAGAAGGAGUGCCUUAUUUAUAAGGUUGCAAUAACAAGAUCCAAGCAACUGUUUAUCAAAAACACAGGUCUCCGCUAAGUCGUAAGACGAUGUAUGGGGGCUGACGCCUGCCCAGUGCCAGAAGGUUAAAGAAGUUGGUUAGCAUUCGCGAAGCUGAUAACUGAAGCCCUGGUGAACGGCGGCCGUAACAAUAACGGUCCUAAGGUAGCGAAAUUCCUUGUCGGGUAAGCUUCGACCCGCACGAAAGGCGUAAUGAUUUGGAUACUGUCUCGGAGAGGGGCUCGGUGAAAUAGACUUGUCUGUGAAGAUGCGGACCACCUGCACCUGGACAGAAAGACCCUAUGAAGCUUUACUGUAACUUGAAAUUGAAAUUGGACUUUAUUUGCGCAGUAUAGGUGGGAGGCGUUGAGAGUAUUCUUGCGGGAAUAUUGGAGCCAUCAGUGAGAUACCACUCUUGUAAUGUUAGAUUUCUAACUUUGUAUCAUUAUCUGGUCAAAGAACAGUUUCAGGCGGGCAGUUUGACUGGGGCGGUCGCCUCCCAAACGGUAACGGAGGCGUACAAAGGUUUCCUCUGAACGGGUAGAAAUCGUAUCUAGAGUGUAAAGGCAUAAGGAAGCUUGACUGUGAGACCUACAAGUCGAGCAGGGACGAAAGUCGGUCUUAGUGAUCUGACGGUGCUGAGUGGAAAGGCCGUCACUCAACGGAUAAAAGUUACUCUAAGGAUAACAGGCUGAUCUCCCCCAAGAGUUCACAUCGACGGGGAGGUUUGGCACCUCGAUGUCGGCUCAUCACAUCCUGGGGCGGUAGUACGUCCCAAGGGUUGGGCUGUUCGCCCAUGAAAGCGGUACGCGAGCUGGGUUCAGAACGUCGUGAGACAGUUCGGUCCAUAUCCGGUGUAGGCGUUAGAAUAUUGAGAGGAGCCUUCUUUAGUACGAGAGGACCGAGAAGGACAUACCUCUGGUGUACCAGUUAUCGUGCCAACGGUAAACGCUGGGUAGCUAUGUAUGGAGAGGAUAACCGCUGAAAGCAUCUAAGUGGGAAGCCCACCUCAAGAUAAG
This 1235-nucleotide ribosomal RNA is filed under the name metagenome. RNAcentral describes it as "bacterial LSU rRNA". It matches the Rfam family "Bacterial large subunit ribosomal RNA", at positions 1564 to 2808 of the family's 2925-position model. The record is from RNAcentral.